RNAcentral lists this ribosomal RNA (297 nucleotides) under uncultured Enhydrobacter sp. RNAcentral's name for it is "partial 16S ribosomal RNA". It matches the Rfam family "Bacterial small subunit ribosomal RNA", at positions 896 to 1192 of the family's 1533-position model. The record is from RNAcentral. Lineage: Bacteria; Pseudomonadati; Pseudomonadota; Alphaproteobacteria; Hyphomicrobiales.
AAAACUCAAAUGAAUUGACGGGGGCCCGCACAAGCGGUGGAGCAUGUGGUUUAAUUCGAUGCAACGCGAAGAACCUUACCUGGUCUUGACAUAGUGAGAAUCCUGCAGAGAUGCGGGAGUGCCUUCGGGAAUUCACAUACAGGUGCUGCAUGGCUGUCGUCAGCUCGUGUCGUGAGAUGUUGGGUUAAGUCCCGCAACGAGCGCAACCCUUUUCCUUAUUUGCCAGCGGGUUAAGCCGGGAACUUUAAGGAUACUGCCAGUGACAAACUGGAGGAAGGCGGGGACGACGUCAAGUCA